This is a long non-coding RNA of Hippocampus comes (tiger tail seahorse), 365 nucleotides long. RefSeq lists it as uncharacterized. The record is from RefSeq and is a predicted model, not a curated record. The transcript is spliced from 4 exons. NCBI's taxonomy places the organism in Eukaryota, Metazoa, Chordata, Actinopteri, Syngnathiformes, Syngnathidae.
UUAUUGAUCAGUUCACUGCAGGCAACCAGUCUUGGAUCAAGUGUCCUUUUGUCAGGAGACUCCAAGUGUGGGAUGUGAGCUGGACACCGCAGGGUUUGACGCUGACCUCACACAUCAACGCCACUUUCCGCAUUGACGCAUGCACGCCGUCCCAAGGCUCUGCGGCGUGUCGCACGACGGGGGCCCGCAUGACUGCACAAGUGGGGGAGCACUCGUCCAUUGGCCUGACCUUGCCGGACGCUCACUCUUGUAUUCAUGUGAGGAGGAUCGAUGUGAAUUACGCCGCCACGGUCCUUCACUGUUUCACCCAGGAACCCGGUAAGGAGCCAUGCAAAAAGCAACACCCUUUUUUUCCCCACUGUGUU